AAAGGGGGGCAACUCCCCGAGUAGAGUGGCGAACGGGUGAGUAAUACAUCGGAACGUAUCCAGUAGCGGGGGAUAACCUCUCGAAAGAGAGGCUAAUACCGCAUACGACCUACGGGUGAAAGAGGGGGAUCGCAAGACCUCUCACUAUUGGAGCGGCCGAUGUCGGAUUAGCUAGUUGGCGGGGUAAAAGCCCACCAAGGCGACGAUCCGUAGCUGGUCUGAGAGGACGACCAGCCACACUGGAACUGAGACACGGUCCAGACUCCUACGGGAGGCAGCAGUGGGGAAUUUUGGACAAUGGGCGAAAGCCUGAUCCAGCCAUGCCGCGUGAGUGAAGAAGGCCUUCGGGUUGUAAAGCUCUUUCGGCGGGGACGAAAAGGUCCGUGCUAAUACCAUGGAUCCAUGACGGUACCCGCAGAAGAAGCACCGGCUAACUACGUGCCAGCAGCCGCGGUAAUACGUAGGGUGCAGGCGUUAAUCGGAAUUACUGGGCGUAAAGCGUGCGCAGGCGGUCUGCUAAGACAGGUGUGAAAUCCCCGGGCUUAACCUGGGAACUGCGCUUGUUACUGGCAGGCUUGAGUGUGGCAGAGGGGGGUGGAAUUCCACGUGUAGCAGUGAAAUGCGUAGAGAUGUGGAGGAACACCGAUGGCGAAAGCAGCCCCCUGGGCUAACACUGACGCUCAUGCACGAAAGCGUGGGGAGCAAACAGGAUUAGAUACCCUGGUAGUCCACGCCCUAAACUAUGUCAACUGGUUGUCGGGGAAGCAAUUCCUUGGUAACGAAGCUAACGCGUGAAGUUG
Molecule: ribosomal RNA, 800 nt
Filed under: uncultured soil bacterium
Lineage: Bacteria
Description: bacterial SSU rRNA
Rfam family: Bacterial small subunit ribosomal RNA
Source: RNAcentral